GAUGAACGCUGGCGGCGUGCCUAAUACAUGCAAGUCGAGCGAACGGACGAGAAGCUUGCUUUUCUGAUGUUAGCGGCGGACGGGUGAGUAACACGUGGAUAAUCUACCUAUAAGACUGGGAUAACUUCGGGAAACCGGAGCUAAUACCGGAUAAUAUUUUGAACCGCAUGGUUCAAAAGUGAAAGACGGUCUUGCUGUCACUUAUAGAUGGAUCCGCGCUGCAUUAGCUAGUUGGUAAGGUAACGGCUUACCAAGGCAACGAUGCAUAGCCGACCUGAGAGAGUGAUCGGCCACACUGGAACUGAGCCACGUGCCGGACUCCUUCGUGAGGCAGCAUUAUGGAUGCUUCCGCAAUGGGCGAGCGCCUGACGGAGCAACGCCGCGUGAGUGAUGCAGGUCUUCGGAUCGUAAAACUCUGUUAUUAGGGAAGAACAUAUGUGUAAGUAACUGUGCACAUCUUGACGGUACCUAAUCAGAAAGCCACGGCUAACUACGUG
Molecule: ribosomal RNA, 497 nt
Filed under: uncultured bacterium
Lineage: Bacteria
Description: partial 16S ribosomal RNA
Rfam family: Bacterial small subunit ribosomal RNA
Source: RNAcentral